GAUGAACGCUGGCGGCGUGCCUAAUACAUGCAAGUCGAGCGAACAGACCAGGAGCUUUCUCCUCUGACUUUAUCGCCGGACGGGUGAGUAACACGUGGUUAACCUACCUAUACGACUGGGAUAACUUCGGGAAACCGGAGCUACUACCGGAUAAUAUAUUGAACCUCAUUGUUCAAUAGUUAAAUACGGUUUUUCUGUCACUUAUACAUUGAUCCGCGCCGCAUUAGCUAGUUGGUAAGGUAACGGCUUACCAAGGCUACGAUGCGUAGCCGACCUGACAGGGAGAAUGGCCACACGGGAACUGAGACACGGCCCAGACUCCUACGGGAAGCAGCAGUAGGGAAUCUUACGCAAGGGGGGAGAGCCUGACGGAGCAACGCCGCGUGAGGGAUGAACGACUUCGGAUCGGAAAACGAUGUUAUUAGGGAAGAACAAAUGUGUAAGUACCUAUGAACAUAUUGACAGUACCUGAACAGAAAGCCACGGCUAACUCCGUG
RNAcentral lists this ribosomal RNA (497 nucleotides) under uncultured bacterium. RNAcentral describes it as "partial 16S ribosomal RNA". It matches the Rfam family "Bacterial small subunit ribosomal RNA", at positions 28 to 507 of the family's 1533-position model. The record is from RNAcentral.